Oncorhynchus gorbuscha (pink salmon) is the source of this 686-nucleotide long non-coding RNA. RefSeq lists it as uncharacterized. The record is from RefSeq and is a predicted model, not a curated record. The transcript is spliced from 2 exons. Lineage: Eukaryota; Metazoa; Chordata; Actinopteri; Salmoniformes; Salmonidae.
CACCCAGUCAUAUGGUUCAGCACCCUGUAACCAUUACAGCCAGCAGACACACAGAGAGCACCACUCACUGUCUAGACACAGAGGAACUCAUUCAUAAAAAUGGUCAAAUGGGGGCAGUGGAGGAUCUUGGUCUCGGUCUUCGGCGAGGCAAUGCCAUGUGAGAGGAGACCAGAUUCACGGUAGCUAGCCUUCUGGAUAUCGUCCGAAGGGCAGACAACUGGGAGGACUAGCCAGGAUCCAAUCAUGGCAGGAAUGGUGUUAGAAACAAGAGAAGAAGGAGAGACUGAGCUCCCAUGUAUGCCAUUGGUAAUAACAUUGGAAUAAAAAUGAUCCACCAGGAAAUACCCUUCAAAACUGGAAUAGACAACCCAUGGAGCCACAUGAUGAUCAUGGAGCCACAACAUGUUAGAUCAUCAUCACCAACAUCAUCAUCUACAGGACCUUGCUGUAUCGCCUGCACUAAACCGUCUUCGAAUGACCUUCCACCUCCCAACCACCACCAACCAACCUUCCACCUCCCCACCACCACCAACUAAAGGACCAUCUUCGGAUCCCUGUUCUCCCAGCGGGGGAGUGUUUCGAUGCCAGCUGCCCAGCAGAGUGCAACAUGUCAUCAGUAUCUGGCUCUGAGGAGCAUUCCUCUGAGACGAGGCCUACCCCAAACUAUUAAAUUAAAUUCCAUGUUG